Leopardus geoffroyi (Geoffroy's cat) is the source of this 924-nucleotide long non-coding RNA. RefSeq lists it as uncharacterized. Lineage: Eukaryota; Metazoa; Chordata; Mammalia; Carnivora; Felidae. The record is from RefSeq and is a predicted model, not a curated record. The transcript is spliced from 3 exons.
AGGAAAGAUGGAGUCCGAUUUGAAGACAUUUAUUGAGUGCUUACUGCAUGCCAGGCACUGGGCCUGUAGGGAUGUGUAGGAACUGCUUCUGAACAGCCCCGAAUAUCGAUGACCACACCCUGUUAACCUCAGGAGAUGAAUCCAAGACCUAUCUUUGGAGAGCCUGAACUCAGAAGUCCAAGUCCUGCCACUUCCCGGAGUGUGCCUUUAGGCACAGUACUUCACCUGUCUGAGCUGCAGUGUCCUCGGGGAAAUCAGGGUAGGGCACUUCACUGGCUUUGAGGAUGGGGGCAGGGGUACGUAUGUCAUGUUCAUUCUGUUGUCCGAGGGGGUCAGGGGGAGGGAGCCAUUGCCGCCACUGACCCUGGGGUCCCUCUCUCCAGAUGGCUCCUUGCGGCUCAGUCUUCUGGGUGUGAACCCCAGGUGGCCUGAUGCAUAUUCCCCAUCCCUACAGAAACCAACAAGAGUUUUGAUGGGGGAAUGGAGGGUAGGAUGUGAUCUCCCUAGGCCCGGUAGAGAAGUCUCUCUGGCAUGGCAGGCUGCUUGGGGAACUGUGAUUUCACACCAGAAAAUUCUGAAGAGUCUCAGGGCCUGGGAUCUAUACUUUCUAAAAUACAUGUGUGUACACGUAUCUGUGUUCACGUUUGUGGGUAUGCCCGUGUGCACUGUGGCCACGUGUGUGUCUGGAGGGAGACUUAAGCAGGCUGACAGGCCAUCUUUCAUGCUGCUUCCAGAGAGGUCUUUCUUAAAGGCACAAUGGAUCAUGUCAUUCUUUUGCCGAAAACCCUUCCAUAAAUCCUCAGUGUCCCUAGGAAAAUGAACUGGCUUCUACCACUACCUCCACCGCCCUGGUGCUCUGCCUGCCUCUCUAGUGAACUGGUGUAAUGUGAGUGCUUAAUAAAAAUAUGCUGCAUGUACACUUCC